This 267-nucleotide ribosomal RNA is filed under the name uncultured Actinomyces sp. Its description in RNAcentral is "partial 16S ribosomal RNA". It matches the Rfam family "Bacterial small subunit ribosomal RNA", at positions 28 to 288 of the family's 1533-position model. The record is from RNAcentral. Lineage: Bacteria; Bacillati; Actinomycetota; Actinomycetes; Actinomycetales; Actinomycetaceae.
GACGAACGCUGGCGGCGUGCUUAACNCAUGCAAGUCGAACGCUGAAGACCUGGCUUUUGUUGGGUUGGAUGAUUGCCGAACGGGUGAGUAACACCUGAGUANNCUGCCCCCUUCUUUGGGAUAACGCCCGGAAACGGGUGCUAAUACUGGAUAUUCACUGGCCUUCCCAUGGGGGUUGGUGGAAAGGUUUGUNCUGGUGGGGGAUGGGCUCGCGGCCUAUCAGCUUGNUGGUGGGGUGAUGGCCUACCUNGGCUUUGACCGGCAGCC